AAUAUUGGACAAUGGGCGAAAGUCUGAUCCAGCCAUGCCGCGUGUGUGAAGAAUGUCUUCGGUUUGUAAAGCACUUUAAGUUGGGAGGAAGGCGUUGAAGCUAAUACCUUCAAUCUGUGACGUUAUCAACAGAUUAAGCACCGGCUAACCCUGUGCCAGCAGCCGCGGUAAUACUGAGGGUGCAAGCGUUAAUCGGAAUUACUGGGCGUAAAGCGCGCGUAGGUGGUUCAGUAAGAUGGAAGUGAAAUCCCCGGGCUUAACCUGGAAACUGCUUUCAUAACUGCUGAGCUAGAGUACGGUAGAGGGUAGUGGAAUUUCCUGUGUAGCGGUGAAAUGCGUAGAUAUAGGAAGGAACACCAGUGGCGAAGGCGACUACCUGGACUGAUACUGACACUGAGGUGCGAAAGCGUGGGGAGCAAACA
RNAcentral lists this ribosomal RNA (422 nucleotides) under uncultured bacterium. Its description in RNAcentral is "partial 16S ribosomal RNA". It matches the Rfam family "Bacterial small subunit ribosomal RNA", at positions 360 to 774 of the family's 1533-position model. The record is from RNAcentral.